RNAcentral lists this ribosomal RNA (253 nucleotides) under uncultured bacterium. Its description in RNAcentral is "partial 16S ribosomal RNA". It matches the Rfam family "Bacterial small subunit ribosomal RNA", at positions 524 to 776 of the family's 1533-position model. The record is from RNAcentral.
UACGUAGGGCGCAAGCGUUGUCCGGAAUUAUUGGGCGUAAAGAGCUCGUAGGCGGUUCGUCGCGUCGGCUGUGAAAUCCCGAGGCUCAACCUCGGGUCUGCAGUCGAUACGGGCGGACUGGAGUUCGGCAGGGGAGACUGGAAUUCCUGGUGUAGCGGUGAAAUGCGCAGAUAUCAGGAGGAACACCGGUGGCGAAGGCGGGUCUCUGGGCCGAUACUGACGCUGAGGAGCGAAAGCGUGGGGAGCAAACAGG